Molecule: long non-coding RNA, 340 nt
Filed under: Panax ginseng (ginseng)
Lineage: Eukaryota; Viridiplantae; Streptophyta; Magnoliopsida; Apiales; Araliaceae
Description: long non-coding RNA (PGIN_LNC008233)
Source: RNAcentral
CAACAACAAAGUUUUAAAGCAAGACAACCAUCGACGUUCAUUGGGGGUUCAAUCAAUUGGCCUGAGUCAUCAUCUUUUUCAUUGGGUGUUAUUCUAAACAUAGAAUCCAAGUAAGUUUUGACAAGUUAUAAUUUUAUACAUGGAAUUUCAUGUAAUGGAUUGAAUUAGCAAUCAAGUAUUGGGGAGUUUGGGAAAAUUGAAUUGGUUGCCCAAUUGAGUUUAUGUUGGCUCAAUUGGGUGUUGGUUGUUAUAACUUUGGGUUCAAAUUGGAUCGGGAUGUGAUUGUGGAUAAAAAGCUUCAAGCUUUGGACUGAAAUAAGUUUGGGGGAGUAUCACAGAA